Molecule: ribosomal RNA, 714 nt
Filed under: Streptomyces similanensis
Lineage: Bacteria; Bacillati; Actinomycetota; Actinomycetes; Kitasatosporales; Streptomycetaceae
Description: bacterial SSU rRNA
Rfam family: Bacterial small subunit ribosomal RNA
Source: RNAcentral
UGCAGUCGAACGAUGAAGCCCUUCGGGGUGGAUUAGUGGCGAACGGGUGAGUAACACGUGGGCAAUCUGCCCUUCACUCUGGGACAAGCCCUGGAAACGGGGUCUAAUACCGGAUACAACCACUGACCGCAUGGUCGGGUGGUGGAAAGCUCCGGCGGUGAAGGAUGAGCCCGCGGCCUAUCAGCUUGUUGGUGAGGUAAUGGCUCACCAAGGCGACGACGGGUAGCCGGCCUGAGAGGGCGACCGGCCACACUGGGACUGAGACACGGCCCAGACUCCUACGGGAGGCAGCAGUGGGGAAUAUUGCACAAUGGGCGAAAGCCUGAUGCAGCGACGCCGCGUGAGGGAUGACGGCCUUCGGGUUGUAAACCUCUUUCAGCAGGGAAGAAGCGAAAGUGACGGUACCUGCAGAAGAAGCGCCGGCUAACUACGUGCCAGCAGCCGCGGUAAUACGUAGGGCGCAAGCGUUGUCCGGAAUUAUUGGGCGUAAAGAGCUCGUAGGCGGCUUGUCACGUCGAUUGUGAAAGCCCGAGGCUUAACCUCGGGUCUGCAGUCGAUACGGGCUAGCUAGAGUGUGGUAGGGGAGAUCGGAAUUCCUGGUGUAGCGGUGAAAUGCGCAGAUAUCAGGAGGAACACCGGUGGCGAAGGCGGAUCUCUGGGCCAUUACUGACGCUGAGGAGCGAAAGCGUGGGGAGCGAACAGGAUUAGAUACCC